ACGGCAGCACGGGAGCAAUCCUGGUGGCGAGUGGCGAACGGGUGAGUAAUGUAUCGGAACGUACCUUUCAGUGGGGGAUAACGUAGCGAAAGUUACGCUAAUACCGCAUAUUCUGUGAGCAGGAAAGCAGGGGAUCGCAAGACCUUGCGCUGAUUGAGCGGCCGAUAUCAGAUUAGCUAGUUGGUGAGGUAAAGGCUCACCAAGGCGACGAUCUGUAGCGGGUCUGAGAGGAUGAUCCGCCACACUGGAACUGAGACACGGUCCAGACUCCUACGGGAGGCAGCAGUGGGGAAUUUUGGACAAUGGGGGCAACCCUGAUCCAGCCAUGCCGCGUGAGUGAAGAAGGCCUUCGGGUUGUAAAGCUCUUUCAGCCGGGAAGAAAUCACAUGGGUUAAUACCCUGUGUGGAUGACGGUACCGGAAUAAGAAGCACCGGCUAACUACGUGCCAGCAGCCGCGGUAAUACGUAGGGUGCGAGCGUUAAUCGGAAUUACUGGGCGUAAAGCGUGCGCAGGCGGUUUGUUAAGAUAGGCGUGAAAUCCCCGGGCUCAACCUGGGAACUGCGUUUAUGACUGGCAGGCUAGAGUAUGGCAGAGGGGGGUGGAAUUCCACGUGUAGCAGUGAAAUGCGUAGAGAUGUGGAGGAACACCGAUGGCGAAGGCAGCCCCCUGGGCCAAUACUGACGCUCAUGCACGAAAGCGUGGGUAGCAAACAGGAUUAGAUACCCUGGUAGUCCACGCCCUAAACGAUGUCAACUAGGUGUUGGGUGGGUAAAACCAUUUAG
RNAcentral lists this ribosomal RNA (783 nucleotides) under uncultured bacterium. RNAcentral's name for it is "bacterial SSU rRNA". It matches the Rfam family "Bacterial small subunit ribosomal RNA", at positions 66 to 843 of the family's 1533-position model. The record is from RNAcentral.